RNAcentral lists this ribosomal RNA (457 nucleotides) under Campylobacter gracilis. RNAcentral describes it as "bacterial SSU rRNA". It matches the Rfam family "Bacterial small subunit ribosomal RNA", at positions 29 to 501 of the family's 1533-position model. Lineage: Bacteria; Pseudomonadati; Campylobacterota; Epsilonproteobacteria; Campylobacterales; Campylobacteraceae. The record is from RNAcentral.
AGUGAACGCUGGCGGCGUGCCUAAUACAUGCAAGUCGAACGGAAUUUAAAAGAGCUUGCUCUUUUAAAUUUAGUGGCGCACGGGUGAGUAAUAUAUAGCUAAUCUGCCCCUUGCUGGAGGACAACAGUUAGAAAUGACUGCUAAUACUCCAUACUCCUUUUUACCAUAAGAUAAAUCGGGAAAGAAUUUCGGCAAGGGAUGAGACUAUAUCGUAUCAGCUAGUCGGUGGGGUAACGGCCUACCGAGGCUAUGACGCGUAACUGGUCUGAGAGGAUGAUCAGUCACAUUGGAACUGAGACACGGUCCAAACUCCUACGGGAGGCAGCAGUAGGGAAUAUUGCGCAAUGGGGGAAACCCUGACGCAGCAACGCCGCGUGGAGGAUGACACUUUUCGGAGCGUAAACUCCUUUUGUUAGGGAAGAAUAAGGACGGACCUAACGAAUAAGCACCGCAUCCC